CAAAGUGUCGUCCGCGUAACAAACUAC
This 27-nucleotide small RNA is filed under the name Bombyx mori (domestic silkworm). RNAcentral's name for it is "ovarian small RNA-12753". The record is from RNAcentral. Lineage: Eukaryota; Metazoa; Arthropoda; Insecta; Lepidoptera; Bombycidae.